Molecule: ribosomal RNA, 258 nt
Filed under: uncultured bacterium
Lineage: Bacteria
Description: partial 16S ribosomal RNA
Rfam family: Bacterial small subunit ribosomal RNA
Source: RNAcentral
AACGAACGCUGGCGGCGUGGUUAAGACAUGCAAGUCGAACGGUGUUUCAAAUGUAGCAAUACAUUUGAAACGCAGUGGCGAACGGGUGCGUAACACGUGAACAAUUUACCUUUUAGUGUGGAAUAGCUCGACGAAAGUCGGAUUAAUACCGCAUGUGGUUGUCUCUCGCCUGAGAGGCAUACUAAAGCCGGGGACCGCAAGGCCUGGCGCUAUUAGAGGAGUUCGCGGCCUAUCAGCUAGUUGGCGAGGUAACGGCUC